Molecule: transfer RNA, 74 nt
Filed under: Isoalcanivorax pacificus W11-5
Lineage: Bacteria; Pseudomonadati; Pseudomonadota; Gammaproteobacteria; Oceanospirillales; Alcanivoracaceae
Description: Alcanivorax sp. W11-5 tRNA
Rfam family: tRNA
About the family: Transfer RNA (tRNA) molecules are approximately 80 nucleotides in length.
Source: Rfam by way of RNAcentral
CGGGGUGUAGCGCAGCCUGGUAGCGCGCCUGCUUUGGGAGCAGGAUGUCGGGGGUUCAAAUCCCUCCUCCCCGA